GAAUGCUGACAUAAGUAACGAUAAAGCGGGUGAAAAGCCCGCUCGCCGGAAGACCAAGGGUUCCUGUCCAACGUUAAUCGGGGCAGGGUGAGUCGACCCCUAAGGCGAGGCCGAAAGGCGUAGUCGAUGGGAAACAGGUUAAUAUUCCUGUACUUGGUGUUACUGCGAAGGGGGGACGGAGAAGGCUAUGUUGGCCGGGCGACGGUUGUCCCGGUUUAAGCGUGUAGGCUGGUUUUCCAGGCAAAUCCGGAAAAUCAAGGCUGAGGCGUGAUGACGAGGCACUACGGUGCUGAAGCGACAAAUGCCCUGCUUCCAGGAAAAGCCUCUAAGCAUCAGGUAACAUCAAAUCGUACCCCAAACCGACACAGGUGGUCAGGUAGAGAAUACCAAGGCGCUUGAGAGAACUCGGGUGAAGGAACUAGGCAAAAUGGUGCCGUAACUUCGGGAGAAGGCACGCUGAUAUGUAGGUGAAGCGACUUGCUCGUGGAGCUGAAAUCAGUCGAAGAUACCAGCUGGCUGCAACUGUUUAUUAAAAACACAGCACUGUGCAAACACGAAAGUGGACGUAUACGGUGUGACGCCUGCCCGGUGCCGGAAGGUUAAUUGAUGGGGUUAGCGGUAACGCGAAGCUCUUGAUCGAAGCCCCGGUAAACGGCGGCCGUAACUAUAACGGUCCUAAGGUAGCGAAAUUCCUUGUCGGGUAAGUUCCGACCUGCACGAAUGGCGUAAUGAUGGCCAGGCUGUCUCCACCCGAGACUCAGUGAAAUUGAACUCGCUGUGAAGAUGCAGUGUACCCGCGGCAAGACGGAAAGACCCCGUGAACCUUUACUAUAGCUUGACACUGAACAUUGAGCCUUGAUGUGUAGGAUAGGUGGGAGGCUUUGAAGUGUGGACGCCAGUCUGCAUGGAGCCGACCUUGAAAUACCACCCUUUAAUGUUUGAUGUUCUAACGUGGGCCCCUUACCGGGGUUGCGGACAGUGUCUGGUGGGUAGUUUGACUGGGGCGGUCUCCUCCUAAAGAGUAACGGAGGAGCACGAAGGUUGGCUAAUCCUGGUCGGACAUCAGGAGGUUAGUGCAAUGGCAUAAGCCAGCUUGACUGCGAGCGUGACGGCGCGAGCAGGUGCGAAAGCAGGUCAUAGUGAUCCGGUGGUUCUGAAUGGAAGGGCCAUCGCUCAACGGAUAAAAGGUACUCCGGGGAUAACAGGCUGAUACCGCCCAAGAGUUCAUAUCGACGGCGGUGUUUGGCACCUCGAUGUCGGCUCAUCACAUCCUGGGGCUGAAGUAGGUCCCAAGGGUAUGGCUGUUCGCCAUUUAAAGUGGUACGCGAGCUGGGUUUAGAACGUCGUGAGACAGUUCGGUCCCUAUCUGCCGUGGGCGCUGGAGAACUGAGGGGGGCUGCUCCUAGUACGAGAGGACCGGAGUGGACGCAUCACUGGUGUUCGGGUUGUCAUGCCAAUGGCACUGCCCGGUAGCUAAAUGCGGAAGAGAUAAGUGCUGAAAGCAUCUAAGCACGAAACUUGCCCCGAGAUGAGUUCUCCCUGACUCCUUGAGAGUCCUGAAGGAACGUUGAAGACGACGACGUUGAUAGGCCGGGUGUGUAAGCGCAGCGAUGCGUUGAGCUAACCGGUA
This 1630-nucleotide ribosomal RNA is filed under the name Escherichia coli. Its description in RNAcentral is "partial 23S ribosomal RNA". It matches the Rfam family "Bacterial large subunit ribosomal RNA", at positions 1292 to 2900 of the family's 2925-position model. Lineage: Bacteria; Pseudomonadati; Pseudomonadota; Gammaproteobacteria; Enterobacterales; Enterobacteriaceae. The record is from RNAcentral.